UACGUAGGGGGCUAGCGUUGUCCGGAAUCAUUGGGCGUAAAGCGCGUGUAGGCGGCCCGGUAAGUCCGCUGUGAAAUCCGGGGGCUCAACCCUCGAAUGCCGGUGGAUACUGUCGGGCUCGAGUGCGGAAGAGGCGAGUGGAAUUCCUGGUGUAGCGGUGAAAUGCGCAGAUAUCAGGAGGAACACCGAUUGCGAAGGCAGCUCGCUGGGACGUUACUGACGCUGAGACGCGAAAGCGUGGGGAGCAAACAGG
Molecule: ribosomal RNA, 253 nt
Filed under: uncultured bacterium
Lineage: Bacteria
Description: partial 16S ribosomal RNA
Rfam family: Bacterial small subunit ribosomal RNA
Source: RNAcentral